Molecule: long non-coding RNA, 1716 nt
Organism: Panicum virgatum (switchgrass)
Lineage: Eukaryota; Viridiplantae; Streptophyta; Magnoliopsida; Poales; Poaceae
Exons: 3
Source: RefSeq, a predicted model, not a curated record
AAUAGCCGUCACUUUCCCGAAUCGCCCUUGGCGGAAGAGAAACGGGCCACGCACUCACGCCAGCAAUACUUCGCGGUCUUUUUUUGACGAGUGAUUUGAGUCAUCUCCUCACUCGAUGUUUUCUUUCACCAAAUCCUCCCUUUCUUCUCCAACUCUGGUGAGAUUCCGGCGAGGUUAGAGUUCGAGAUUGCUGAGGGUGGGGGCUGCUGCUCACCGCCGGCUUUAGAAGGAGGGUCGGCGGCGGUAGGCCGGCCCGGCAAGGCCAGCGAUGGUGGCGCCGCCGGCCCGGGCGGUGGAGGACAGCGGUCGGGCCGGUGUCGGGGCAGGGGCAACGGUAGCGGGAGGCGGGGGCGAGAGGGGCGACGGCCGACGCGGGCAAGACAGGGCGGCGGCCUGCGUGGGUUAGCCAGCAGCCAGGGCUGCAAUUGGAUACCAUACCUACCCAUCCUACGUUUAUUACUUCGCUUUAUUUUACACAGACACUCGACGAAAGUGCACGUUGAUAUUUUGGGGCAAGAAUUGAAUACCAUGAUAAUGUUUCCUAAUAGCUUAACUGCGCUGACUUUCUAUCCUUCUCUUGCUGGUUUCCUUUCCUUCCUGUGCUAACCCGCUCUCCCUGGGCUCUAUUUUAGUCAGCAAUUGGCAAUCAACUAAUCAUAUCAAUCCAUCAUAAUUGGGAGCAGGCUGCCACCAGCUUCCAUUUGAUCUCUCAUCUUGCGAACUAUGGCUGCAGGCAACAUCUUCUCAUGGAGGCCGGCGGCACCAUCUCUCGGAGGACGACAAGAUAACGCCGGCGGUGUAUAGCGCGCCCGCGGAGGAUGUGGAUGCUAUGGUAGCUGCGACCCCAGCCUUGGUUGAGUUCGACUACCUUUAGGGCGGCAGGUCGAGGCCACAUCAUGCGACCAGCGACGCGGGGCCAUCUACUCGGCUAGGGAGGAAGCCUAGAGCAGGGGCGCACCGCAGAGCACAAUACACCAUCCAGCAAGUAGCCAAACACCUUUACUACAAUUUUUUUUAACUGCAAGCAACAAGCUAAUAAGGUAAUUUAGCAAUUCGUAUUGCAAUUUGCUGCCCCGGCCUAAGUCGUGGGUGACGUUGUUGCCGGCAUGUAUCUCUGGUGUCAUCGGCUAGGAUCGCCUAGGACACAAGUGUUGUGCAGAGGCGGCUAUCAUGGAAGGUGAAGCAGGCUUCUGUACGUGCACGCGGCCGGACUGCUGUACACGUGGUGCAUCAUGGAUGUGAAUUGCAAGCAUUGGAAAUGAAGAGAUUGUCAAGAACCAAGAAGCUAGAAAGGAGACACUGCAAGGAAUUUGGGCAUGUUGAGUCUAGGAGUUCCGAGGAAUUUGAUAGUCAAAUUGUUUUCUCUAUGAGCCGAUUCCAACAAAAUAAGCUUGUCCAUUAGCUCUAUCAUUUUCAUAUUCUUUGAUCCUUGAGUUGCUUUGAAAUAUGUUGGAUGCUAGCAUUACAAUUUUGUUAGGAUACAACAACUUUGUAUAGUGAAACCUCUAUGAUAGCCAAUUUGUGCUAUGAUACAGCAUGCCAAAAAUGUUUCAGAGGCACAUCGUGUGUGCUUCUUGCAUGUACAGUAGAUAGUAUCCUUUUAAGAUAGUGCAAAUUUUCGUCAGCUUUCUGAAACUGAUGGAUUCUAAUAUUUUUUGGAUUGCUAGCAUAUGUAAUCCAUGAAGUGUGUGAUAAGAGGUAAAUGUAUCUUUCUUA